This is a long non-coding RNA of Salvia miltiorrhiza (redroot sage), 518 nucleotides long. RefSeq lists it as uncharacterized. Lineage: Eukaryota; Viridiplantae; Streptophyta; Magnoliopsida; Lamiales; Lamiaceae. The record is from RefSeq and is a predicted model, not a curated record. The transcript has 3 exons.
GUUUCUAGAAUUAUAAUGCACAAAUUCCCAAACAAAGGAUAACCAUGUAUAUUUGUGGGAAUUUAGAUAAAACCCAAUUCACUUCUACCUACCUAAGUGUAGGCUACUUUCAAAAAAAAAGGGAAGAGAACAGAGCCAUCUUCCUCACCCUUCAAGUUUAAAUUCGUAGAGAUUUUCAAGUAGCAGCUGCACUACUUUAAAAGAAGAAGGUUCCGGCUAGGAACGAGCCCGACACUAGAGUACGAAGUAAGAGAAACAUAUCAGGUUAAGUUUGAAUGAAGAUGGAAGUGUGCUGAGCUGGAGCUUUUUGUUUAUGUAAAUAGUGAUAGGCUCAGGAUGUUGUGUCUUCAUACAUAAUGUCCAAUGAUGUACUCCGCUGCAACACUUUAUUUCUCUUAUCACUUUUGACGUGUUGUAGGAUUUUUGAAAACCUUAACCUGUAUGUGAGCUUGAUAAAUCUUGGUUAUGAUAUUUAUUUGGUUUAAACUUCUUUUGAUAAAGUUUGGUGGUUAUAUAUA